This 241-nucleotide ribosomal RNA is filed under the name Schistosoma rodhaini. The record is from RNAcentral. Lineage: Eukaryota; Metazoa; Platyhelminthes; Trematoda; Strigeidida; Schistosomatidae.
UCGAGGUAGUAACAAGCAGAUCAAUAGGACCUCUCCCUGCUCUUUACUCAGUUAUCCCCAAGGUAACUUUACCCUUUAUCCUAAAGGAUCCAAAAAUAAAUGAAAAAUAUACAUUUACCCCAAACAAAUCUAACUAUAAGAAAAGCUCUUGGGGUCUUUCCGUCUAAUAUUAUAAUAGUGGGUUCUUAACCACCAAACUAAAUUCAGAAACAAACUAUCACCUUAAUCACACCUCGUUGAA